RNAcentral lists this ribosomal RNA (314 nucleotides) under Escherichia coli. RNAcentral describes it as "partial 23S ribosomal RNA". It matches the Rfam family "Bacterial large subunit ribosomal RNA", at positions 418 to 732 of the family's 2925-position model. The record is from RNAcentral. Lineage: Bacteria; Pseudomonadati; Pseudomonadota; Gammaproteobacteria; Enterobacterales; Enterobacteriaceae.
CGGGACACGUGGUAUCCUGUCUGAAUAUGGGGGGACCAUCCUCCAAGGCUAAAUACUCCUGACUGACCGAUAGUGAACCAGUACCGUGAGGGAAAGGCGAAAAGAACCCCGGCGAGGGGAGUGAAAAAGAACCUGAAACCGUGUACGUACAAGCAGUGGGAGCACAGAGCAAUCUGUGUGACUGCGUACCUUUUGUAUAAUGGGUCAGCGACUUAUAUUCUGUAGCAAGGUUAACCGAAUAGGGGAGCCGAAGGGAAACCGAGUCUUAACUGGGCGUUAAGUUGCAGGGUAUAGACCCGAAACCCGGUGAUCUA